This 497-nucleotide ribosomal RNA is filed under the name uncultured bacterium. RNAcentral describes it as "partial 16S ribosomal RNA". It matches the Rfam family "Bacterial small subunit ribosomal RNA", at positions 28 to 507 of the family's 1533-position model. The record is from RNAcentral.
GAUGAACGCUGGCGGCGUGCCUAAUACAUGCAAGUCGAGCGAACGGACGAGAAGCUUGCUUCUCUGAUGUUAGCGGCGGACGGGUGAGUAACACGUGGAUAACCUACCUAUAGGACUGGGAUAACUUCGGGAAACCGUAGCUAAUACCGGAUAAUAUUUUGAACCGCAUGGUUCAAAAGUGAAAGACGGUCUUGCUGUCACUUAUAGAUGGAUCCGCGCUGCAUUAGCUAGUUGGUAAGGUAACGGCUUACCAAGGCAACGAUGCAUAGCCGACCUGAGAGGGUGAUCGGCCACACUGGAACUGAGACACGGUCCAGACUCCUACGGGAGGCAGCAGUAGGGAAUCUUCCGCAAUGGGCGAAGGCCUGACGGAGCAACGCCGCGUGAGUGAUGAAGGUCUUCGGAUCGUAAAACUCUGUUAUUAGGGAAGAACAUAUGUGUAAGUAACUGUGCACAUCUUGACGGUACCUAAUCAGAAAGCCACGGCUAACUACGUG